AUGGCCCAGGCGGUGAUUGGCGCGAUGGGCACCCUCCUGCCCAAGCUGGCCGACCUAAUCACCAAGGAGUACAACCUUCAGAGGGGUGUCACGGGCGAGAUCAUGUUCCUCAAAGCCGAGAUGGAGAGCAUGGAGACCUCUCUCCUCAGGAUUUCUGAGGCUCCAAUCGACCAGCCACCGGACAUCCAAGUCAAGAUUUGGGCCAAGGCUGUGAGGGACUUGUCAUAUGGCCUAGAAGAUAGCAUCAACAAGUUCAUGGUGCGCAUCGAAACCGAUGGCCGACCAGAUAAGUCCCAUAGCUUCAGGAAUUUCAUUGAUAAGAGCCUCAGCCUGUUGACCAAGGGCAAGAUUCGCCACAAGAUCGGCAUCAAUAUCAAAGACAUCAAGAGCCGCAUCAAGGAGGUCAGUGACCGGAGUGAUAGGUACAAGGUUGACAAUGUGGCUGCUGCCAAGCCCGUUGGUCCAGCUAUUGACACCCUUCGCCUAGUAGCCUUGUAUAGAAAGGCCACGGAGCUCAUUGGCACUGACGAGAAGAGCAUUGAGGUAAUCAAGAUGCUGACGGAGGGAGAUGAGGUUUCGGAGAAAUGUCUAAAAGUGGUCUAUAUUGUUGGAUUUGGUGGAUUGGGCAAGACAACCCUUGCCAAUGCAGUGUAUAAGAAGCUCAGAGUGCAAUUCGAUUGUGCGGCCUUUGUUUCCGUGUCUCUUAAUCCUAAUAUGAAGCAUAUUUUCAAGAGCAUGCUCCAUCAACUUGACAAGUAG
RNAcentral lists this ribosomal RNA (759 nucleotides) under Triticum aestivum (bread wheat). RNAcentral's name for it is "partial small subunit ribosomal RNA". The record is from RNAcentral. Lineage: Eukaryota; Viridiplantae; Streptophyta; Magnoliopsida; Poales; Poaceae.